GACGAACGCUGGCGGCGUGCUUAACACAUGCAAGUCGAACGGUGAAGCGCCUUCCUUUUUGGUGGGUGUGGAUGAGUGGCGAACGGGUGAGUAACACGUGAGUAACCUGCCCCCUUCUUCUGGAUAACCGCAUGAAAGUGUGGCUAAUACGGGAUAUUCUGGGUCUGUCGCAUGAUGGGUCUGGGAAAGAUAUUGUUUCGGUGGGGGAUGGGCUCGCGGCCUAUCAGCUUGUUGGUGGGGUGAUGGCCUACCAAGGCGGUGACGGGUAGCCGGCCUGAGAGGGUGGCCGGUCACACUGGGACUGCGACACGGCCCAGACUCCUACGGGAGGCAGCAGUGGGGAAUAUUGCACAAUGGGCGCAAGCCUGAUGCAGCGACGCCGCGUGAGGGAUGGAGGCCUUCGGGUUGUGAACCUCUUUCGCCAGUGAAGCAGGCCUGCCUCGUUUGUGGGUGGGUUGACGGUAGCUGGAUAAGAAGCGCCGGCUAACUACGUG
This 494-nucleotide ribosomal RNA is filed under the name uncultured bacterium. RNAcentral's name for it is "partial 16S ribosomal RNA". It matches the Rfam family "Bacterial small subunit ribosomal RNA", at positions 28 to 507 of the family's 1533-position model. The record is from RNAcentral.